UACAGAGGAUGCAAGCGUUAUCCGGAAUGAUUGGGCGUAAAGCGUCUGUAGGUGGCUUUUAAGUCCGCCGUCAAAUCCCAGGGCUCAACUCUGGACAGGCGGUGGAAACUACCAAGCUGGAGUACGGUAGGGCAGAGGGAAUUUCCGGUGGAGCGGUGAAAUGCGUAGAGAUCGGAAGAACACCAACGGCGAAAGCACUCUGCUGGCCGACACUGACACUGAGAGACGAAAGCUAGGGAGCGAAUGGG
Molecule: ribosomal RNA, 248 nt
Filed under: uncultured bacterium
Lineage: Bacteria
Description: partial 16S ribosomal RNA
Rfam family: Bacterial small subunit ribosomal RNA
Source: RNAcentral